UCCAUUGAUCAAUCAGAAGGGGUGCUAAUUGGGAUUGUUCACUAGCCAAUAUUUUAGCAAAUAUCGCCGUGGGCGCUUAUUAGAGUGGGGCGCUUAUUACGUCGAAUACGGUAUAUCAUUUUUCUGUGUCUGAAACUAAGUGUUUUCUUAUUCAUUUCAAUCAGUAUGUAAUUACAUCUUACUGAACUUGCUGUGUCCUCAAUACUGUAAAUCUUGAAAUUAAUGCGAGCGUAAAUUAAAUGCGAAAAAUGUGAGUGGUCUUUGCUCGCAUGAAUUAACUUUGCAUUUAUGUCUCCAAAAUGACUAUCAACAACAGACAGCCUCGCCGCACACUUUGGCUAGCGGAAAUACCAGCUUGAAUAUAAACACAAACACGGUUUAUUGAGCAGCAGUUGCAACAAGUACAUAACAAUGCCAUUCAAAGAACAGGAUUGAUUGGAUUACAGUAAGGUUGGAUUAAAGUAAGGAUAUGUAUCAUUCCACUGAGGAUGAGCCGGGGGGAGCCUCAUUGAUUUUGAGUCGCAUUUUUGGCUAGGGGUCAGCAGUCGUAUUAAUUUAGAGAUGCAUUAAUUUCAAGAUUUUCAGUAUAUUUUGGUGAAGGUUGUAUUCCCCACUUGUAGAUAUGAAACAAGUUUUACACGGGGUGGGAAGUAUUUGAAUGCCAUCAUUCUGGUAUUCAUGGCUUGAUUUAGAAUUUGAUUUAACUUGCACCAGAUGCAUGAUGAAGUGAAAAGCUAGUUGCACCAGACAGUAUCAGGUUGCACCCUGGUCCCAUAAAGUGGAAACACAAACAUAAACUAGUCUAAAAAAGUAUAAUAUCAGUUUCUCUGAUAGGCAUUUAGAAGUUGGAGUACUAAGUAAGGAUAAGAUUUAUGGAUGAGCAACUUUUUUAUUACAAUUAAGAGCAACGUUUGAGUGUAGGUUCUAACACCGUUAGCAAGCAAGUGAUCACUUACUUGAUAACAGUGUUAGAACCUACACCAAAAUGUCGCUCUUGUAAUAAAGAAGUUGUUCAUCCAUUAAUGUUAUCCUUACAUAUAAUAUCAGUUGUCUGAUGACUCAAUUGUCAUGAAUUACACAUAACACAGGAAUUAGUUAUGUAGUAUGGAGUGGACAUGUUGGGGUUAAUUACUGUCAGACAUACAUGGACGUGUAGCAUGCACACAUUACUAUUAGGUUGCAUUUUUCACUAAUAGGUUGCACUGGUGCAUGUUUUAUACAGUUAAUUCGAGUCCUGGUACUGGGAAUUAUAAAACUAGAGGAAGGCGAAGUGGUAUCUGUUAACAAAGAAUCUCAGUGCUGCAAUCGUUAAAGGAUCUUCUUGAAAAAAGCCUCUUCUUCUCGUAUAAUUCGUUUUAAACAUGUUGAUGUUUGAAAAUGAUCUGAUUUUCUGUCUCGUAAUUUCACAUGCAUAAUUAUUCUUUUACAGUAUGUCAUAGUUUUCUUUUAGUGUUAUUUAAUCAGUUGUGAUAUAAUAUUGUUUCCUUUGUUCUGUUGAGUAUGUCUGUGUGGUGUGGAGAUGAAGGUUGACAAAGUAUGCUGGAGAUCACACCUUGGAGCAGAUCCUCGAAAAUGUUGAAACUGAGGUUGUCCUUUGUCAAAAUGUAUAGUUAACCAGAUUUAGUAAAUUCAGUUGCUUUUUACAUAUAAAAUGGUUACACCGAUAGGAUGUCAUUUUGAAGUAUUUAUCCAAGAAAACAUCAGAUUUUUACUUUUGAUGAUGGAGGGACUGGAUUUAGUUGUUUUCAUAGGAUGGUAACUUAAUUUGGGUCCAUGUUUUGGUUGUCUUGACUUUACGGGGAGAUGACUUCAAGUGCAGAUAUAGGUUGUCUUCACGUGGUUGGGAUUAAGGGUCUAGAUUUGGGUUGUCUUCACGUGGUUGGGAUUCAGGGUCUAGAUUUGGGUUGUCUUCACGUGGUUGGGAUUUAGGGUCUAGAUUUAGGUUGUCUUCACGUGGUUGGGAUUUAGGGUCUAGAUUUGGGUUGUCUUCACAGGGUUGGGAUUUAGGGUCUAGAUUUAGGUUGUCUUCACAGGGUUGGGGUUUAGGGUCUAGAUUUAGGUUGUCUUCACGUGGUUGGGAUUUAGGGUCUAGAUUUAGGUUGUCUUCACAGGGUUGGGAUUUAGGGUCUAGAUUUAGGUUGUCUUCACAGGGUUGGGAUUUAGGGUCUAGAUUUAGGUUGUCUUCACAGGGUUGGGAUUUAGGGUCUAGAUUUAGGUUGUCUUCACAGAGUUGGGAUUUAGGGUCUAGAUUUAGGUUUUCCUGUACAGGGUUGGGAUUUAGGGUCUAGAUUUAGGUUGUCUUCACAGGGUUGGGAUUUAGGGUCUAGAUUUAGGUUGUCUUCAAAGGAUGGGGAUUUAGGGUCUAGAUUUAGGUUGUCUUCAAAGGAUGGGAUUGAGGGUCUAGAUUUAGGUUGUCUUCAAAGGAUGGGGAUUUAGGGUCUAGAUUUAGGUUGUCUUCACAGGGUUGGGAUUUAGGAUCUAGAUUUAAGUUGUCUUCACAGGAUGGUGAACAAGGGCCCAGAUAGAGGUUGUCCUCACCAUCAAAUUCCUGUGUGUUGACGAUGUCAUGGGAUGGUAUUCAGUUAUGCAAGAUAAAUCUACACUUUGAUACUUGAGAUUGCUAACAUGGAGGGUGUGUGUGCAUGAUGGUUACUUAGCACGUCCAUUGGUUUAUUGUUACAUGUAAAUAGAGGCAUUUCGUAUUUAGAUAUAUACCCCAAGAAUGUUUUUUAUUCUGUAUUUGAUCAUGCGCAACAGAUUUUAUGGCAGUGUUCUUCUUGUCAUAGAUGAAUUGUUUGUAUAUUUUUUUAUACUAUUGAGUACUGAUUUUUGGCAAAUAAAUUGUUAUGCUGUUA
RNAcentral lists this long non-coding RNA (2855 nucleotides) under Haliotis rufescens (red abalone). Its description in RNAcentral is "uncharacterized LOC124110356". The record is from RNAcentral. Lineage: Eukaryota; Metazoa; Mollusca; Gastropoda; Lepetellida; Haliotidae.